This 233-nucleotide long non-coding RNA is filed under the name Elaeis guineensis (African oil palm). Its description in RNAcentral is "long non-coding RNA (EGUI_LNC038889)". The record is from RNAcentral. Lineage: Eukaryota; Viridiplantae; Streptophyta; Magnoliopsida; Arecales; Arecaceae.
AUCGGCUCCUCACGGGUGCUAGCUCAUUGUACAGUCUUUUCGACGGUCGAUGCUGAUCGAACUCCUUCGAUCGAUGUCUGUUGAUUCUUUGGAUGCUCUGCAUCAUUAGCAGAUAUACUUGAGAGGAUGUUGAAGAUCUUCCUAAAAUUUGGUGGGCUCACGACACUCGUAGCUCACCUUCUCACUUCCCGAACCCCAGGCUGAAACCCUAGGGAACACACUGGAAACCCUGC